AAUGACACAGAAGAACUGGCAAUG
Molecule: microRNA, 24 nt
Filed under: Caenorhabditis briggsae
Lineage: Eukaryota; Metazoa; Nematoda; Chromadorea; Rhabditida; Rhabditidae
Description: cbr-miR-2226-5p
Source: miRBase by way of RNAcentral